GAUGAACGCUGGCGGCGUGCCUAAUACAUGCAAGUCGAGCGAACGGACGAGAAGCUUGCUUCUCUGAUGUUAGCGGCGGACGGGUGAGUAACACGUGGAUAACCUACCUAUAAGACUGGGAUAACUUCGGGAAACCGUAGCUAAUACCGGAUAAUAUUUUGCACCGCAUGGUUCAAAAGUGAAAGACGGUCUUGCUGUCACUUAUAGAUGGAUCCGCGCUGCAUUAGCUGGUUGUUAAGGUAACGGCUUACCAAGGCAACUAUGCAUAGACGACCUGAGAGGGUGAUAGGCCACACUGGAGCUGAGACACGGUCCAGACUCCUACGGGAGGCAGCAGUAGGGAAUCUUACGCAAUGGGCGAAAGCCUGACGCAGCAACGCCGCGUGAGUGAUGAAGGUCUUCGGAUCGUAAAACUCUGUUAUUAGUGAAGAACAUAUGUGGAAGUAACUGUGCACAUCUUGACGGUACCUAAUCAGAAAGCCACGGCUAACUACGUG
RNAcentral lists this ribosomal RNA (497 nucleotides) under uncultured bacterium. Its description in RNAcentral is "partial 16S ribosomal RNA". It matches the Rfam family "Bacterial small subunit ribosomal RNA", at positions 28 to 507 of the family's 1533-position model. The record is from RNAcentral.